RNAcentral lists this transfer-messenger RNA (362 nucleotides) under Gemmatimonadota bacterium. It matches the Rfam family "transfer-messenger RNA". From Rfam's summary of the family: Bacterial tmRNA, also known as 10Sa RNA or SsrA, is named for its dual tRNA and mRNA-like properties. Its role is to liberate the mRNA from a stalled ribosome. The record is from RNAcentral. Lineage: Bacteria; Pseudomonadati; Gemmatimonadota.
GGGGGCGACCGGUUUCGACGUGUGUCGUGACAUUGGUGUUGCGUGCCCAGGUACUCGAGCACCUGGUAAAACACUCGGGAAAAUCAUUACCUGCCAACGACAACUUGGCGCUUGCUGCGUAACUUCUAGUUACGUCCAGCAGUGCCUAGCGAGAAGCUCUCCUGAGGCGGCUUGCUAGGUAUCGCAAAUUCGGGAUAGUCCGGCGUCGCGUCUUCCGGCGACGGGCGAAGCAUCAGAAGACUUGUCCGGACGACGGCCCGUCCAUCGGCCAGCGUUUGGAGACACUCAACGAUGGACUACGCACGUAGACGCGCUGGUGAAGCUAUGCUCGGACGGGAGUUCGAUUCUCCCCGCCUCCACUG